RNAcentral lists this ribosomal RNA (229 nucleotides) under uncultured bacterium. Its description in RNAcentral is "partial 16S ribosomal RNA". It matches the Rfam family "Bacterial small subunit ribosomal RNA", at positions 568 to 796 of the family's 1533-position model. The record is from RNAcentral.
UGCGCAGGUGGGCUUGUAAGUCAGUGGUGAAAUACUGCCGCUUAACGGUAGAACUGCCAUUGAUACUGCGAGUCUUGAGUAUGGUUGAGGUAGGCGGAAUGUGUUGUGUAGCGGUGAAAUGCAUAGAUAUGACACAGAACGCCGAUUGCGAAGGCAGCUUACUAAGCCAUUACUGACGCUGAGGCACGAAAGCGUGGGGAGCGAACAGGAUUAGAUACCCAGGUAGUCC